ACCUUCUGUGGUGUAGCUGGUAGCACUUAGGUUUAGUAAUCAUAAAUCCUAGGUUCAAGUCCCGGUCGGGGUA
This is a non-coding RNA of Halocaridina rubra (Hawaiian volcano shrimp), 73 nucleotides long. Lineage: Eukaryota; Metazoa; Arthropoda; Malacostraca; Decapoda; Atyidae. The record is from the annotation of a GenBank genome assembly.